AGGCAUCGUUAAACAACAACCCAUCGACGAGAAGGGGUUAUUCUUACGGUAGAGUUGGACGAGGCAGCUACGUGUAGACGAUGAGCAUCUUAUGUUAUGUGUGUGUGUUGUUCGUCGGUCGGGUUCCUCUCGGUGCUGGCUCAGCCGUCGUUACCGCCUGGAGCGCCAGCCGAACCGGUUUAGCCACCACCUCCCCCGCAACUGGUUCCGGGUCAGCCGGUAGCUCCUCCUGAGGUUCGACGCCGUCUCGCGCGUCGCGCUGGACCACAAGUAGUGACCGCUCAAGGUCUACUACGUCAGGAAGGACUUCGAGCGCCUGCUGCUCGCGUGGUCCUUGUAGCACCACUCCUGGACCCACGCCGUCUAGGCCCUCGACCGGAUGCUGCACCUCCUGACGUAGCUCAAGCAGGAGGUGGAGCUGUUCUUCAGGGUCACCACCGCGGCGGACGAGGGCGGGAAGCACAGCCGGCGGUCCGUCGGCGAGCUGCUCCGGUAGCGGCUCUAUGCCGUCGAGUUCUAGGCCCAGCUCCUGCACUCGAGGUCCUUGCGCGCGAUGUCGGAGUAGUCGCUGAGGCCGAGGUUCGGGCAGCAGCACGUGGUCGUCGGCCGCCGCCGCCGGGCGCGGCGCUACCCGCGGUGCCGCAAGGUGUACGAGCAGCUCCGCUGCCUGUAGCGCUUCGCCGUUAUACCCCUAGAGUGGGUCGAGUAGUGGUUCUUUCUGUUGCCAAAAGUCCACUAGAGCCACACCCCCUGACCGCCGCUAGAACCCUGCGAUAGGUAGUAGUCCUUCCGCAAGCUACUAGGUCUUUAAACGGUUUUGAAGUGGACGGCACGGACCUAGUUUGAGCAGGUGGGAAAGUUGGGGGUGCUCAAGUAGGCCUCGAACUCCCAAGUCAAGAUACGUUUGAGAACGUUUCUUGGUCUCAGUUAGUAGCCACGUCCCCAGGAAUCCUACUACCUCCGAUGAGUUCUGCUAGACCUCUCUAAGUACUUCCUUGAGUUGUCGUUCUUCAUGUAGUAGCAGAAUCUUCUACACAGGUGGUAACAUCUGACCCUACGACAGUCUUACAAAUAAGGGUCGUCAUUCUUACCGUCGACAUAGUAACACAGCUGAGUCGUUAGGCUUUAUCGUUCGCAGACACACCCCGUAAGUAUGGUUCAUAACCUCGACUUCGUCAAGAGGUGGCUCGUGAGCCAAAUACGGAAGUGUCUCCCUAGAGUUCCACUACCUUAAUUUCGGCUCCUCUAUAGGUGUCUCGUACUUCGCUCUGGACUGUGUUAAGAGUGGAGAUUUUUACUACGUCGGGAACUAACCUACCUCUUCAUGGGGUAGUGACCUGGACCGCAACCCUUUAGUUGAGAGUAGUCUUUGAACAAGACACUGUUUUAAGAAGUGUGUUGGGACAAACUUUUCAUACCAACCCACCUACAUAGUGUAGGCAAGUUAAAUUCCCUGAAGACAGCCUCGAAUAAUAACCUAAAAGUAAGACUUAGUGAACUUCGAUGCCUCCAACGAAGGUUGUUGUACUAUUCUUAGUUUUUGGGGUAAGUCCUCACACCACUAGAAGACCUAGUUGUAGCAACGGAGCAGCAAUAACUACUAGACGUCAGGUUCCUUCUUACCCUGUACUAUUUUCGACGUAAUAACAGAUCUAGUAGAUUUUCACAAUAGUAACGGUAAUGUUGGCUUCGUUUGUAACGGUGUACAACGCGCCUAUUCCUUCUGGAACAUAAAUUACAGUUUCCAGAAGUUCGGUUACGUCGGAAACUAGAGAAGGUAGUCCUCCACCAAUCCUUUUUGGGUAACAGGCGAAACUUCUUAGAGUUUCUUCUUGGCUUCGAUUUUCUUGAAUAAGAGUUCACACCACCCGAAGGUGUUCAUUAUCAACGUUAUCGACCACAUAACCGGUUCUUCUGUCAGUGUGAUUACCUAUGGCAUCUAAGAUGGUUACUGUCUAAGUACGUGUGUGACCUUUGGUUGGGUCUCAUACUGUCAGAUGCCCCGGACAAACCAACCUACAUAAGGAUGAAGGCAUCGACGGGUCUAAGGGAGUUCGGUACGUAGAAGAUGUACAGUGAAAAGGGGGCUCUAGUGUCGUGAGCUUCCUCUGCACACCACUCCGCCACCCAACGCCUCCCGAUGAGAGCCCUGUCACUUCUGUUUAGUCGUCUCGUUUUACCCCUCCACAAGAAGAGGUUCGAGGAGCUAGACUCGUAUUAGGUCGUUCGCGGUGUCGAUCAGUGGUGACGUAACCCACUGUGUUCCUACUAGAGUACGGUACAAUUACCAAAGUAGGCACUUAUGUAGCAGAGUGCCGCCUACCUCCUCUUGGAACAGAAACUCGACCUCCCGACGACGCUGUACUGGUGCGUUGCGUGCCCCGCAGUGGAGUAGUAUUCCCUCUCGACCCUGUCCCUGUUCUAGCACAAGGUCUCAUACCUAAAGAGCUCCGAUGCCAGUGAUUGACACAAACCCUUCACCUUUGUUAAGAAGCAGAGGCUUUCGUACUUCGACGAGGCCCAAGAACUAGAUCUCCUACGUAACCCACAUCUCCUACGACUAGAACUCUUUUACGACUUCGUCGAGGCAGCAGAGUUCAAGGAGAGCGACGCUCCUACGUCACCCUAGGUGUUAAACGGUUCGAGUAAUCCACUAAACUCCGUCGAGGUCUGAGAACUAUAGUCUACGUGGAGGUAUGACUUGGACGGUCGUUUGUAGUGGUUUGAUGUCUUCGACGUCAUGUAAGCAAGACCGUGGAGACAAGUCCGUCUUCUUAGUAGUUGUGGUACAGAAAGUCAUGGGGUUGAGACGCCUGCAGUGGAGGAUCAACCACAAUGCCACGGACCUCCUUAACUGUUUGACUGUCGCAACGUAUGUGAGCCAUAACAGUUGUAACCGCGUAGUCCCCCCUUCCGGUAGGAGUUUCUCGACUUCCUGGAGUGGGUUAACAUGUUCGAGCCUCACAGGCCGUAGUUGUUCUCUUUGACGUUCUUCAAGAGGAGACGUUAGAGUCCAGUGCAGGUAAACCUUAGGAACAGCCAGGUUGACCUGUUCCUGUCAGGUCCAACAAACCGACCGUAGAGGGACGGAAACUUCUCGGACGUCUCGGAAUUUGACGUACCCGGGCAGCUCUUCAACGGUCAAAACUUCUAGCUGCUCGAAUCGUUCGACUGUUUCAACCUAAACCUCUACUGGUACAACUGUCUCCCACUGUAUUUCGAGUAGCCCUCAGAUGGUUUUGAUACAUGAGAAGCACAGUUCGAUGAGGUUCUAUCAUUGGAGGUAAAAACACGUUACCUCUUACCUGAACUCAACCGGUGAAUAGUUUUCUAGUUCUGGGAGCUUUAACGAACGUCGAAGUCAAAUGCGCAACGGAAACCAAGUCUUUGUUACUUUUUAGAACUCGACGACUUCCGAACAACGUCACCAAACAGUCACGUCAAGUAACCGGAUCUCUUAGAGUGACCUGAGUUCCUUCGGAACGACAUUCCCGUAGAGGCACACACAUAGGAUUGACCUGGAGGUUUGUCCAGUAUUGCACACGAUUUACGUAUUUCCAAUUUAGACAGGUAUUCUACCCGGGGUGGACCAUUAACACCGGUAUCCCAACAUUGAUCUUAAAUAAAAAUUCCGAAUUAUAUAAUAACAACAUUACUUGUUAUGAAAAAUAUAGAAUACUGGUACCUGAUGGGUGUUCGAACCAGACGGG
Molecule: ribosomal RNA, 3710 nt
Filed under: Triticum aestivum (bread wheat)
Lineage: Eukaryota; Viridiplantae; Streptophyta; Magnoliopsida; Poales; Poaceae
Description: partial small subunit ribosomal RNA
Source: RNAcentral